GAUGAACGCUAGCUACAGGCUUAACACAUGCAAGUCGAGGGGCAGCAUGGUCUUAGCUUGCUAAGGCCGAUGGCGACCGGCGCACGGGUGAGUAACACGUAUCCAACCUGCCGUCUACUCUUGGACAGCCUUCUGAAAGGAAGAUUAAUACAAGAUGGCAUCAUGAGUCCGCAUGUUCACAUGAUUAAAGGUAUUCCGGUAGACGAUGGGGAUGCGUUCCAUUAGAUAGUAGGCGGGGUAACGGCCCACCUAGUCUUCGAUGGAUAGGGGUUCUGAGAGGAAGGUCCCCCACAUUGGAACUGAGACACGGUCCAAACUCCUACGGGAGGCAGCAGUGAGGAAUAUUGGUCAAUGGGCGCAGGCCUGAACCAGCCAAGUAGCGUGAAGGAUGACUGCCCUAUGGGUUGUAAACUUCUUUUAUAAAGGAAUAAAGUCGGGUAUGGAUACCCGUUUGCAUGUACUUUAUGAAUAAGGAUCGGCUAACUCCGUG
Molecule: ribosomal RNA, 490 nt
Filed under: uncultured bacterium
Lineage: Bacteria
Description: partial 16S ribosomal RNA
Rfam family: Bacterial small subunit ribosomal RNA
Source: RNAcentral